Molecule: ribosomal RNA, 468 nt
Filed under: uncultured bacterium
Lineage: Bacteria
Description: partial 16S ribosomal RNA
Rfam family: Bacterial small subunit ribosomal RNA
Source: RNAcentral
GACGAACGCUGGCGGCGUGCUUAACACAUGCAAGUCGAACGGAAAGGCCCUGCUUUUGUGGGGUUCUCGAGUGGCGAACGGGUGAGUAACACGUGAGUAACCUGCCCUUGACUUUGGGAUAACUUCAGGAAACUGGGGCUAAUACCGGAUAGGAGCUCCUGCUGCAUGGUGGGGGUUGGAAAGUUUCGGCGGUUGGGGAUGGACUCGCGGCUUAUCAGCUUGUUGGUGGGGUAGUGGCUUACCAAGGCUUUGACGGGUAGCCGGCCUGAGAGGGUGACCGGCCACAUUGGGACUGAGAUACGGGCCAGAAGCCUACGGGAGGGAGCAGUGGGGGAUAUUGUACAACGGGCGGAAGGCUGAAGGAGCAACGCCGCGUGCGGGAUGACGGCCUUCGGGUUGUAAACCGCUUUCGCCUGUGACGAAGCGUGAGUGACGGUAAUGGGUAAAGAAGCACCGGCUAACUACGUG